GCAUUUGGCCAUACCUCCUUGUCAAUGUUGAAUCUCGGAGGCUGAGAAGGGUUGGGCCUGAUUAGUACUUGGAUGGGAGACUGCUGGUAAUAUCAGGUACUACUUGGU
Molecule: ribosomal RNA, 108 nt
Filed under: Periophthalmus magnuspinnatus
Lineage: Eukaryota; Metazoa; Chordata; Actinopteri; Gobiiformes; Gobiidae
Source: RNAcentral